ACCUCCUAGGUGGGAUGAAAAUAUAAUGGUCGAGUGAGAGCUACUCUCUAAAACACCUAAAAAAGUUGAUAUCUGGCCUGCAUGGAACAGAAGCACCCUCAGAAAACACACAGCAUCAUGGGAAAUGGAAACAGUCGAUACCCUGUUAAGUCUGACAUAUAUAUAACGGCAAGAAAAUAUGAGCUGCACUAUUACUUCUACCAUAACGGCAAGAAGCGGGCGCACCUAAAGUCACUAUCAGUCUGGUUCUGGAAGAACUUUUCUGAGUAUCUCAUGGACCAUGUUUCAUGGUUUAAGAAAUACAAACAAGUUCUGAGUUUGUAGAUGUUAAACCACAAGCAAAAUAUGCAGCACCGAACACCGAGCACUCGGGUUCCGCCGUCAGCCUGUCAGUGCGUUGCGCCCCAUUCCGCCGUCCCGGUCCCCCUCCCGCUUCCCCGGUUCACCACCUUCUCCAGCGCGUCGGGCGGCCCGCUCGAGUUGCCGCAUCCCCGCGUCGCAGUCCCGUUGUAUCCAACGGCGGCGCUAAACCGCUCCCAGAGGUACUGCAUGUUCAGCGGCAUCUGCAGCGCCAACGAGAACAUGGAGAGGAAGAGCACCGGCUCCACGGUGACGCCGAGCCGGCGGGGAAAGCAGCUCGGCUCCAGCUUCGCCCGGCCCUCCGGCUCCGGUCUCCCCUCGUCCUCCGAGGCUGAUCGGCUCUGGCCUAAGUCCGAUAUGCCGUCGGCCUCCGGGAGAAGCGCUUCGGUGUCCGCGGCGUCCAUGACCAAACUGGAGCUUCUCUCGCAGACUAACCCACAGUAUCUACUUCCUGGACGCGUAGCACCUAAAAGAUAACUAAUGAAAACCUCGGCUCCCAACCAAAAAGCGCUGUUGUGUUAAUCAUUUUACACGUUUCGUGUAGUCCGUUAUACAACAAAACGAUGAUACGUUUAUACGUAUAUAAGUUAAGCUGACCUGAGUGCUAUUCCAUAAAGCGGGCAACAGGUGGCGUCGUGGUUCAAGGACUGCGCUGCAGAUGCUAAAGUGCUUUUAAUGUUUUAGAUUAAUUAUCCGACAUUGUGAGCGAGGUUUGUGUAUUGCCUUGAAUAAAACGGUGAGGUAAACGGUCUAUAUACAUCUAUAGAGAUUCCCAAACAAGACAUAAGGCAGACUUGUCACAUACCUAAGUUUGUGAUGGUAUUUUCCUGACAUCACUGUUUUUUAGACUCUGCAUUUUCUCAGAGUUAUAGCAGGUAAUGAUUAAGUCCUUCAGUACAAGCUCUCCCUGAAGUCUUGAUAAAAGAGACUUAGACCUGUUUAUCUCUUCGGUGACAUUGAUUACUCUGCAGUUCCUUGAAAUCUUCCUGCCAACUUCUUAAACAAGCAGCGCAUCUUUAUCAAAGAACGAGGCUGUAACUGCAGUGCGGGACGCGCUCACUCUGCCGUUCUGAUACCAACAGCAGCACCUGCCUACCUGCUCUGAGACGCUGGGCUCGUAAAUUUCGUUUUAUCUCGCUGUCCUCACUUUAACCUCUUUCGUCUGUUUCUGCAGGAAAAAUCUUGUGUGAUUUUGUUUUCCUGGCAUAACAUUUGGACUUCAACUAGAAAAACAAAGUUUAUUCAAAUCAGCAGUUGGUUUAUAAAGAAUUAGCGAAAUUUGUUAAUUUUCAUACAAUUUAGUAUCCCAAAAGUCCAAAAAAUGUAUCUUCAACCGAACUUAUGUAUUAUUAACUUUAUCCCCAGUUCUGAAAGUCUUAAAUCUGUUAUUGCUGGUAUUCAAGAAUCGACUGACUGACUGACUGACUGAUGACUCAGAUGAAAUGCUACCAAAAGUGUAUUUUUUAUUUUAACAAAAUAUGGGAUUGCACUAAUAUGGAGAAUUCAUGAAUGGAAUGAGACACCGAUGAGCAAAGAGCUGCUCCAUGUCCACAUGUGACGUUUGUACAGAUGGCAGGGCACAGGAGACUCAGUACUUUUGUGAAGCUUUUGCUACUGGACUUUGAACAUCUCUGGUAACCUUAGCAAUGCUGCACACAUACCUGGAUUUUAAAAGUUGUGAGUAAGUGGCGGUUGUCAUGGUUAUGUAAGGUCACGCUGAGUGUGCGUAUGCUCUCUGAAUAAAGGUUUUUGCUUA
Brienomyrus brachyistius is the source of this 2116-nucleotide long non-coding RNA. RefSeq lists it as uncharacterized. Lineage: Eukaryota; Metazoa; Chordata; Actinopteri; Osteoglossiformes; Mormyridae. The transcript is spliced from 2 exons. The record is from RefSeq and is a predicted model, not a curated record.